UUUAUGGAGAGUUUGAUCCUGGCUCAGGAUGAACGCUGGCGGCGUGCCUAAUACAUGCAAGUCGAGCGAACGGACGAGAAGCUUGCUUCUCUGAUGUUAGCGGCGGACGGGUGAGUAACACGUGGAUAACCUACCUAUAAGACUGGGAUAACUUCGGGAAACCGGAGCUAAUACCGGAUAAUAUUUUGAACCGCAUGGUUCAAAAGUGAAAGACGGUCUUGCUGUCACUUAUAGAUGGAUCCGCGCUGCAUUAGCUAGUUGGUAAGGUAACGGCUUACCAAGGCAACGAUGCAUAGCCGACCUGAGAGGGUGAUCGGCCACACUGGAACUGAGACACGGUCCAGACUCCUACGGGAGGCAGCAGUAGGGAAUCUUCCGCAAUGGGCGAAAGCCUGACGGAGCAACGCCGCGUGAGUGAUGAAGGUCUUCGGAUCGUAAAACUCUGUUAUUAGGGAAGAACAUAUGUGUAAGUAACUGUGCACAUCUUGACGGUACCUAAUCAGAAAGCCACGGCUAACUACGUGCCAGCAGCCGCGGUAAUACGUAGGUGGCAAGCGUUAUCCGGAAUUAUUGGGCGUAAAGCGCGCGUAGGCGGUUUUUUAAGUCUGAUGUGAAAGCCCACGGCUCAACCGUGGAGGGUCAUUGGAAACUGGAAAACUUGAGUGCAGAAGAGGAAAGUGGAAUUCCAUGUGUAGCGGUGAAAUGCGCAGAGAUAUGGAGGAACACCAGUGGCGAAGGCGACUUUCUGGUCUGUAACUGACGCUGAUGUGCGAAAGCGUGGGGAUCAAACAGGAUUAGAUACCCUGGUAGUCCACGCCGUAAACGAUGAGUGCUAAGUGUUAGGGGGAUUCCGCCCCUUAGUGCUGCAGCUAACGCAUUAAGCACUCCGCCUGGGGAGUACGACCGCAAGGUUGAAACUCAAAGGAAUUGACGGGGACCCGCACAAGCGGUGGAGCAUGUGGUUUAAUUCGAAGCAACGCGAAGAACCUUACCAAAUCUUGACAUCCUUUGACAACUCUAGAGAUAGAGCCUUCCCCUUCGGGGGACAAAGUGACAGGUGGUGCAUGGUUGUCGUCAGCUCGUGUCGUGAGAUGUUGGGUUAAGUCCCGCAACGAGCGCAAC
RNAcentral lists this ribosomal RNA (1122 nucleotides) under Staphylococcus aureus. RNAcentral describes it as "bacterial SSU rRNA". It matches the Rfam family "Bacterial small subunit ribosomal RNA", at positions 1 to 1102 of the family's 1533-position model. The record is from RNAcentral. Lineage: Bacteria; Bacillati; Bacillota; Bacilli; Caryophanales; Staphylococcaceae.